This 484-nucleotide ribosomal RNA is filed under the name uncultured bacterium. Its description in RNAcentral is "partial 16S ribosomal RNA". It matches the Rfam family "Bacterial small subunit ribosomal RNA", at positions 28 to 523 of the family's 1533-position model. The record is from RNAcentral.
GACGAACGCUGGCGGCGUGCUUAACACAUGCAAGUCGAACGAUGAAGCUAGAGCUUGCUCUGGUGGAUUAGUGGCGAACGGGUGAGUAACACGUGAGUAACCUGCCCCGAACUCUGGGAUAACUGCUGGAAACGGUAGCUAAUACUGGAUACGACCAACGAAGGCAUCUUCUGUUGGUGGAAAGAAUUUCGGUUCGGGAUGGACUCGCGGCCUAUCAGCUUGUUGGUGAGGUAACGGCUCACCAAGGCGACGACGGGUAGCCGGCCUGAGGGGGUGAUCGGCCACACUGGGACUGAGACACGGCCCAGACUCCUACGGGAGGCAGCAGUGGGGAAUAUUGCACAAUGGGCGCAAGCCUGAUGCAGCGACGCCGCGUGAGGGAUGACGGCCUUCGGGUUGUAAACCUCUUUCAGCACCGACGAAGCGCAAGUGACGGUAGGUGCAGAAGAAGGACCGGCCAACUACGUGCCAGCAGCCGCAGUAA